This is a long non-coding RNA of Choloepus didactylus (southern two-toed sloth), 2281 nucleotides long. RefSeq lists it as uncharacterized. The transcript is spliced from 2 exons. The record is from RefSeq and is a predicted model, not a curated record. Lineage: Eukaryota; Metazoa; Chordata; Mammalia; Pilosa; Megalonychidae.
CCGGCCUCUGCCCCGGCCUCCGCGCGGGCACCAGUCGUCGCCAGCCCGCGGCCGCGACAGGGCGCUCACCUCGGGGGAACUCUUCCCGCACCGCCCGCUCCUCCUGCUCUUCCCCGCGGCAGAAGCGGCGCCCUCCGCCCGGGGCUCUAGGAGCGCCCUGCGCCCCGCCCACCAGGCCGCGCCCUCCGCGCCUCCGGCCACGCCCCCUCAGCCCAGAGGGGACAGCCGAGGCCCGGAGACCUGAAGUAAUUGUCCAGAAGCCCAGCUGGAACCUGCCCAAAGAGGAAUCAAUCCCAUGCUCUCUGACUCCUAACCCAGUGCUCCUUCACUCGUGUCUAAAUUCAAGCUAACAUCUGAAGACCUUAAUGAUGGAUUCCCGUCAGCAAGUGAUACUUUGUAUGUUUGGGAGCUGAGGUGGUUUGAAGAGCGCUGCUCUGAUUUUGUUUUGAGAAGACAGAUCCUUUCUGUCCUACAAGCAUGGCAUUACUUCUGAUUUGCCUUCCCUUUUCUUUUUUCCUACCUCCUCCAUUGUUGGGAUUUGCUGCACUUUCAGGAUAAAGGAAAGAAAUAGCUCCCCAGAGGCUUGUGCCGCUAAAGGGUUAAGGAAAGACGACUUAUCAGAAGGUGGAGAAGUGGCUUUCUGGGAUGAACCCUGGUUCAAGGACAGAUAAGACUGUGGGUGGGGAGAGCAUCUGGGUGGGGGCACAGACAGUGCAGGUGGGUGACCCCCACCCCACCCACUAACUUGCCACUGGGAGCUCAGAGUGUAAUCAGAGUGCAGCCCACACUCCCACUCUCUAGUGAUAUGAUAUGAUCGGGCAAGGCGGGAAAGAUAGGCGUAAAAUAAAGCCUGGCACUUAAUUACAGUGUAAGAAUCCCAUUAUAGAGUCUUCCCGGCUCCCCUCCUUGGCUGGCAGCUUGAAGUGUGAGUGACAAAUUGCCUCGAGUGGGUCUGGAAGGGCUGCAUGCAGAGGAUGCACCGCCUCCAGGCUCUCCCUGUGUGGCAGUGCUUCCCAACCCCAUGUGGGAGCUGUGUGGAGGGAGGGGGACUCACACUCUGGAGUGCUGGGGGGUCUGUGGGGGUGCCCAGGGAGUACUGAGAGCUGGGACCUAAAGAGCACCCUGCUGAGGCGGGUCCCAGCCAUGUGGCUCAAUGUUCCCUUUUGUUAGUGGAAUCAGGAGCAAUGUGAGAGGAGAAGUUGGUACAAUGGCACCAUGUACCCUGCUACAUAGGUGUACCCCAAAAGACCAGCACUGUGCCUCGCUGUGUCAUAGGAGUGCUAUGAAGAGGUGGGGCAAGGAGGAGCCCCCUAGGAAUUUCCAAAGGCCCCUCCUCCCCCUGAGGAGAGCAGCUCCUGGCUGUAGACAUGAGGUUCCAGUCAGCGGUCUCCAGGGACUCACGUCAGACUCUGGGAGGAACCCUAGCUUCUGUCUACCUGGUCCUGUCUUCCCAUUAAUAUGGUCACUGAAUGAUAUGACAGCUUCCACCUGAAUGGAUUCUAGGCAGGGCAGCCUAGAAUCUUCUCACAGGUGGUCCUUUAAGUGAGCUUCCAUUAUCUUUCUCCAGGGUUUGCAGAGAAAGGGACUUUGGCUGAUCAGGACUAGAGGGUCCUUCACUUUUUUUCUCUGCACUAAAUCCCUAGUGGCACACAUACCCAUUGGGCCCCUCAUGGUGCUCACAAGCAGAGCUCUUCUGGAAGGUGAGAAGGUUGCUUUCACUCUCCUGUUUGAACCUUCAAUGGCUUCCCUGUCUACUGAGAACAAAAUCCAGAUUCCAAACUAAGGCCUCAGCUGUCUCUCCAGGCUUGUCCCUUUCCCCUGCGCUCUUGCCCCCAGCCUUACAAGCCGCCUUUCGCUCGUUUAAGGUCUUCAUGCAUGCUGCUCCUUCUGCCUGGAAUGCUCUUUCCCCACGACUUUGCAUGGCUCACUCCUGCCCAUCCUUGAGUCUCCCCUCUAAAGUCACUCCUUCAGAGGACUUCCCUACCCCUCUGUCUAAAUUAGGUAUCUCCUGUUAUUCUCUCUCAUGUAUCCUGUUCUUUUCAUUUACAACUCUUACCUCAAUUUGUAAUUUUAUAUUGAUGUGUGUAUUGGCUCGAGGUUAGUUCCCCCUAUUAGACUGUAAGCUUCGUGAAGAGAGGGACCUUGUCUGAUUUGCUUACCACUUCAAAUUCAGUAUCUGACAAGUGCCUCUCACUAAAUUUUUGUUGAUAAAUGAAUGAAUGUUACUAGCUGUCUUCAUUUUAAUGGGUAAAAUUAGCACUUAAUAAACCUGUAAAUGUAA